UGGGGGGGGGGGCAGUAGUUCCCAGGCUCCCACUUUUAUCCUCCGCAAUCUGGUCCCUUCUGCUCCGCGAGAGUGGGCUUCAGUCUUUAAACUCCCUGGCUUUAAACCACGUGGAUCUGGUUGAAAUGGAUCAGAAUACAGUUGCAGGCUCACAUCUUCUGGGUGGGGGCCCCAGAAGGCCUGGAGGCAGGCACGCACAGGACAAAUCCUAUCUUGAAGGCACCAUGUAGAGGUGGUUGUUUUGAAUCUGGGACUUCAUUAUGUUGCUCAGGCUGAUCUCAAAACUCCUGGAAUCAAGGAAUCCUCCCGCCUCAGUCUCCCCAAUACCUGAAACUACAAGUGUAUGCUCACCACAGACGGCAGCCCAGAUGUUUUCACAGGACAAUUUUAAGCCUUGUUACUACCUGAAGUUUCAAUUUUUUAUCCGGGCACCCAGCCAGGAGCUAGGAGAAAGCUAGGACAUGCGAAGGCAAGUCCACUCAGAAGAGGGAGGCCAGAGCAGGGCUUUCACAGCUCAGGACCAGAGACAGGUGGUAGGGCUUCAGGAUCUACUUUUACUUAGUCAUAUGAAGUUGUCACCAAGUGAUCUAUUCUGAGGUCACUGAAGGACUUAGGAUCUGCCUCUGUGGAACAAGAAAUCCUAAGCCCCUGAGGAGAUGGGCCUUGGGAACACCAAAGGUGAAAAGUCAGCUGAUCCCAAAGAAUGUUCUAUGAGGUCCCAGGACUAAAGGAAGAGAGGUGAUGGAGCAAGUGUUGUGGAAGGAGCCCCAGCCACCUGCCUGCACAGCUUACUCAAGCCCUCUGGUACCUGUUCAAACUGAAUCUCUUGUAUACCAUGUCCAUGUGAUAUGAACCUGCUGCCAAAUGUGCCCCAUUCCCUGUCUUGGUAUUUUGUUACAAUAGUGGAAAACUGACUAACACAAAUGUUAUCCAGAUGAAAAUUGGGGCAGAUGCUAUGGAAGGGAGAAUGGAUACUAAGGAAAUAACCACAAUUUCAUCUAAAGGAGGCCACAAGAACAGUGGCGACAAUUUCCGAAUUCUACUACAGGAUGUCUGGGCUUUAUCUGGUAAGACCGAAACCUGUGAAUGACUUCAGCUGGGAGCUAGAAUUAUCUGAGCCUACAUCACUCACAGGCCUGGUGCCUGGGUUGGGAAAAUCAGAAGACUCAUGCAGUCAGAAGAGUGCCUAUCCAUGGUCUCUCCAUGAAGCUUGACUUCCUAACAGCAUGGAAGCCACAGGGCAGUUAGACGUCCAGCAAGCUGCCUCUGGUCUCCAACACUCAAACUGGUUGCCAAGGGUUAGAGAUUCAGAAGAGUUCAACUACAAAGAGAACUUUGAGGGUGAUGGAACUGUUUGUGGUGAUGGUGAAUCUAAACAUAUGCUAAAACUUUCAGAAGUUUUAACACCCCUCCAAAAAGUCAAUUUUUAUUGUAUGUAAACUCAAAAAUAAAAU
Non-coding RNA from Ictidomys tridecemlineatus (thirteen-lined ground squirrel), 1454 nucleotides. Lineage: Eukaryota; Metazoa; Chordata; Mammalia; Rodentia; Sciuridae. The record is from RefSeq and is a predicted model, not a curated record.